AGACCCGAAACCCGGUGAUCUAGCCAUGGGCAGGUUGAAGGUUGGGUAACACUAACUGGAGGACCGAACCGACUAAUGUUGAAAAAUUAGCGGAUGACCUGUGGCUGGGGGUGAAAGGCCAAUCAAACCGGGAGAUAGCUGGUUCUCCCCGAAAGCUAUUUAGGUAGCGCCUCGUGAAUUCAUCUCCGGGGGUAGAGCACUGUUUCGGCUAGGGGGCCAUCCCGGCUUACCAACCCGAUGCAAACUGCGAAUACCGGAGAAUGUUAUCACGGGAGACACACGGCGGGUGCUAACGUCCGUCGUGAAGAGGGAAACAACCCAGACCGCCAGCUAAGGUCCCAAAGUCAUGGUUAAGUGGGAAACGAUGUGGGAAGGCCCAGACAGCCAGGAUGUUGGCUUAGAAGCAGCCAUCAUUUAAAGAAAGCGUAAUAGCUCACUGGUCGAGUCGGCCUGCGCGGAAGAUGUAACGGGGCUAAACCAUGCACCGAAGCUGCGGCAGCGACACUCAGGUGUUGUUGGGUAGGGGAGCGUUCUGUAAGCCUGUGAAGGUGUGUCGUGAGGCAUGCUGGAGGUAUCAGAAGUGCGAAUGCUGACAUAAGUAACGAUAAAGCGGGUGAAAAGCCCGCUCGCCGGAAGACCAAGGGUUCCUGUCCAACGUUAAUCGGGGCAGGGUGAGUCGACCCCUAAGGCGAGGCCGAAAGGCGUAGUCGAUGGGAAACGGGUUA
RNAcentral lists this ribosomal RNA (725 nucleotides) under Salmonella enterica. Its description in RNAcentral is "partial 23S ribosomal RNA". It matches the Rfam family "Bacterial large subunit ribosomal RNA", at positions 711 to 1432 of the family's 2925-position model. The record is from RNAcentral. Lineage: Bacteria; Pseudomonadati; Pseudomonadota; Gammaproteobacteria; Enterobacterales; Enterobacteriaceae.